GAUGAACGCUGGCGGCGUGCCUAAUACAUGCAAGUCGAGCGAACAGACGAGGAGCUUGCUCCUCUGACGUUAGCGGCGGACGGGUGAGUAACACGUGGAUAACCUACCUAUAAGACUGGGAUAACUUCGGGAAACCGGAGCUAAUACCGGAUAAUAUAUUGAACCGCAUGGUUCAAUAGUGAAAGACGGUUUUGCUGUCACUUAUAGAUGGAUCCGCGCCGCAUUAGCUAGUUGGUAAGGUAACGGCUUACCAAGGCGACGAUGCGUAGCCGACCUGAGAGGGUGAUCGGCCACACUGGAACUGAGACACGGUCCAGACUCCUACGGGAGGCAGCAGUAGGGAAUCUUGCGCAAUGGGCGAAAGCCUGACGGAGCAACGCCGCGUGAGUGAUGAAGGUCUUCGGAUCGUAAAACUCUGUUAUUAGGGAAGAACAAAUGUGUAAGUAACUAUGCACGUCUUGACGGUACCUAAUCAGAAAGCCCCGGCUAACUACGUG
Molecule: ribosomal RNA, 497 nt
Filed under: uncultured bacterium
Lineage: Bacteria
Description: partial 16S ribosomal RNA
Rfam family: Bacterial small subunit ribosomal RNA
Source: RNAcentral